RNAcentral lists this transfer RNA (92 nucleotides) under Spirochaetota bacterium. RNAcentral's name for it is "Spirochaetes bacterium tRNA-Ser". It matches the Rfam family "tRNA". From Rfam's summary of the family: Transfer RNA (tRNA) molecules are approximately 80 nucleotides in length. Their secondary structure includes four short double-helical elements and three loops (D, anti-codon, and T loops). Lineage: Bacteria; Pseudomonadati; Spirochaetota. The record is from RNAcentral.
GGAGAGAUGCCUGAGCGGUCGAAAGGAACGGUUUGCUAAAUCGUCGUAGGAAGCAAUUUCUACCCAGGGUUCGAAUCCCUGUCUCUCCGCCA